Solea senegalensis (Senegalese sole) is the source of this 1606-nucleotide long non-coding RNA. RefSeq lists it as uncharacterized. The transcript has 3 exons. The record is from RefSeq and is a predicted model, not a curated record. Lineage: Eukaryota; Metazoa; Chordata; Actinopteri; Pleuronectiformes; Soleidae.
AGGAAGUGAUUGGGGAAGGAAGCCAGUAAAUCCAUCACACCUGUGAGCUGAAAGGAGGGAAAACUAACGAAGGAGGUUUGAAGGAGGAAUGAAAUGCUUAUGAGAUGCUCUGGAGAAAUAAGAUGAUCCAUGGAGCAGAUCUGAAACUGGUGCUACUACUAUGACCUGUUUGGAUUCAGUGGCUGAGCUCUCUAGAUGGAUGACACACACAUUUCUCUGAAACUCUACUGACCUCUGACCUUCAAGUGACAAUUAUCUAACCAGGGUUUCAAUGUUUGGCUCAACACGUUACCAGAAAGCUGGUGACUAAUGCAGAACUCAGCAACACUAUCUCCUAACAUUUAUAAUCUCCAUCACUGAAUGUCCAGGCGGCCAUUUGUUGUGCGUUAGCAGCGUCUGCAAGGGUUCAAAGGUGUGGACGGCAACGAAGGAGACAACCUGUAAAAAUCAUGACGGCAGAGAAGGACGAUGUUUAUCUCCCCGUGGCUGAUGGGAGUUUGUUGCCGAGGCAGAGAGUAUGAUGGGUACAGGAAGUGAAUAGUUUGGCCUGAGGUUCACAGCAUGUGUGUGUGUGUGUGUGUGGUGAUGAUGCAUGUGUGUGCUGUGACUGAUAAAACGCCUCAGGCCUCCGUGUCUCGGUGGCUAAGUAAAGAACAACACACAUUCUUGCAGAGCUCUUGGUGAGGACACCGUGCAUUUCAGUUCAGUUCACUAUGGUGCGGUUUGGAACGGUUCACCCUGAUCAGAGGUGUGUGGCCCCGGGUACUUACGUUUGUGUCCUCCUAUGUAAAUAGUGGAAUGUCAAACAUAGUGCAGCCCAAUAAAUUAUAUAAAUAAAUAAAUAAAGAAGGAGGUGAUGUGGUAAACAAAGAGUAUUGAUGUUGGACAUCCAGCAUUCUGUGUUGUUUCUUAAGCUGUUUAUUAUUGAUUUAUUUUACAAGGACGGUGCAUAUUAAUAAAACAUUUAUGUAAACAUGCCAGAGUUAGCCAAAAGGCACAUUUUCGUCUGUAGUCCCUGGCCAGAUGUUGUAAAACCCUGAAACCCUAAAACAAGUGAAACAAGGAAUAAUUGACCGAGGAAGAGAAAAGGACAAGAAUGCAGACAACACAUUGAAAUAGAAUAUCUAAAAAAAACACAUAGAUUCACAGCAAGUCUAAAACAUACAUACAACAUUAAAAGUUUGAUGAGCACUAGUAGAAUCGCAACACAGGGGGCAACAGACAUCACAUGAGGUCACCAGAAUACUGUCUUUCCCUCGUGUCGCACAUAAGUGAUGAUUCUCUGUCGUCAAAGUAAGGGACUGCACUGUGUCUCGCUCCAGACUGAGCUUGGUAACCAAACGCAGGGUACAGAGCAGUUACUGUAUAUUUGUAGCCUUUUCAACAUUUGACAGUGGAAACGCAUGCAAUUGCGUACCGUGCUGUGCAGAACUGAACUGGAUCGCUUAGUGGAAACAGGGCUAUAGAUAAAACCAUCACAACUAAAUGAGGAAACCCCAUACAACCUUAAAACCAGGUCUUAACUAAAUGGGUGUGAUAGAAUGUGAGGGCCAGCCAAAAUUCCCAAAAUGUCGUCACAUCCUAUAACGCCUAACGAUACACACAC